AGGAUUCAGUCUACAGAACAAUUAGACCGGUUCUAGCUCACCGCUAGACGUUGUAAAAUUUUCGGCUAAAAUCCCUACCGUGAUGACUACGAACCUCUGAUUUAUUCGUACGUAUGAACGCAAAAUAAUGAUACGUACCUUAUACCGCACAAAACUGUAUAAUUUAUCGCGAGAUUUUUGAAACAGUACAAUCAAGCUGCUAAAAAUGGGUGCAAUCGUUGUACUGUAUCUGUGCGCUGUACUGUGUGCAAGUGUCGGUGGUGUACAAGGGAUGUGCAAACAUGUGGAAAACGACGAUAUGAUAGAAUACAUCUGCGAAGGUGGCCAACUUUCCGAUCUAAAUUAUCUUCCCCCGACAACCGGGAAAAUUCGCAUUUCCAACAUGCCCAUGCAACGAAUAACCGUGAACACUUUUGCAAGGUUCGGUUCAGAACUUUGGGUUCUAGGUUGUUCUCAUUGUGGCAUUGUGGAUAUCGAACCAGAUGCUUUUCGACAUUUGAGCAAUCUUCAGCAACUAAGUUUAAACAACAAUCACUUGACUACCGUGAAGGAAUCCUGGUUCAAAGGUUUAGAUUACUUGACAUACUUGGAUCUAAAUUACAACAGUAUUUCAUCAAUCGAGAAUGGUGUAUUCAAAAAUCUACCCAGUCUGGUUGAUUUAAGACUAUCUGGUAAUCGUUUAGAAUGCUUGAACCUUGCAGCUAUGUCCCAGCUGAAAGAUUUAAAGAGAAUAUUCCUGAGUGAAAAUGCGGAAUUCAAAUGCCCUAACGCUGUCAGUGCCUUCCUCGAGAGUCGUGGGGUUAACUUCGAAAAGGAUCCAGAAUGGUCUAAACUACCAACCGAUUUAAUUCCAGCAGAAACUUCAUCCAACUACGAUUACUACGACGAAGUAGUUCCUGUAAGCGAACCGCAACCUGCCUAUCGUGAACGAUUGCAUCCUACACCCAUGACACUAUCAUCCACUGUGGCAUCGACGAUAGCACAUAUUCUACCUAUGUUUUACACAACUGAAGAAGUAGUGUACCCUCCAAUGCACACCUCCAAUGUAGACUCAAGAACAACAUCCAGACCAUCGACAAUCCCCUAUGAAGAGCCAGAAGUUACGAGUCUAACAUACGACACAGCAAGAACACCCUAUGUUCCACCAAGAACCAUCGCACCAAUAGAGUCGACGACAUAUUCACCGCGUGAGACGGUACAGUACAGCACAGGUAGCCAAGAUGUAACGACCUUGAGAUCUUGGCCGAGAUUCCCGGAAUCCACCAGUGCCAGGACCGAAUACCCGAUCUAUCCUCCCCAUAGAAACCAGGACAAACAUUACACAGAACAGCCGGAUUAUUCGGGCUCAACAGAUUCGUUCCUCUUGGCAUCGAGCCCAGGCGAGCGUCAUGAAACAACGGAGCUUGACGCAGAAAGUAUCAUGAAUUCCUUCGUGACUGAGGGGCUAGAAAGAAAUACCGUAUCACCGAAUGUAGAAUAUACACCUAGGAUCGAAAGCAGAGGACCGGGAUAUCCAGAUCCAGUGACUCCUUCAGACACAAAUCUCAUCAUACGACCUAUCCAGCCAGUGACGCCAACAAUGGUCCACCCCGCUCCGCUAGAUAACGUGUAUCAGUCGCCUUAUUACGAGACCACGGUCACUGUCCACUCACCGCCUUUGGUGGCUAAUCGACCACAGCAAGGGGAAGUAACUCCGGGAAUCAUGCCAAUUGAAACGACUACCGAUAAACCAUUGCCCAAGUGUGAAAAUUUAUCGUCCUCGAGCCAGGGCUCCCUAGCAAUGAUCAUGCUUUCCGUCUUCCUUGCGAUCAUGCACCGUGUCCUUGUGGAGGGAUUUUAGCUAGAAAUUUCACUCAACGCACAACUCUCAUCUUUAAUCCGAUCGAACUUUCGACAACGGGCAAUCUGUAUCGACCAAUCCAACGUUUGCGCGAACCUGUGCGGGCACCAGCGUCGAGCAUGGAACGUAGACCUAAAUGGAACGGCGUCUCUGGAAUCAUUUAAUCGCAUACCUUAGACCGAGUGACCGAAGUACGGCCAAUUUCGUCGUUUUCACUUCCGAGGGCAGCGUGGAAGACUUCGUCAACGAGAUACGCUAUCAGAGGAAGCAACCUAAACAAUUGAUUCUUCAGAAGCACCACGGAGCCUGCAGAACCCACAGCUUUCAAAUCGUGCAACAUUGGAAAUAAGAAGACGAGCUGCUACGUACAAGAUUACAAAUAUCGUGGAAGAAAAAUUAGCACGCGAUUAGCAGAAAAAGAUCAAAAGUCCACGGUAUGACAGAGCAGCUAAUUUCACACGCAUCUUAUCAGCAGAACUUAAGAAGUUUAAGAAGUAUGUUUGGCGUGUCAUAAAGGAUAUCGUUAAUCGAGUACGUCAUGAUGCAUGUACCACAAGCGUCAUGAGGAAAAAUUGCAAUUGAACAUCUGAAUAUCGCCGAAUAAUACCGGCUAGUCGAUAAAUAAGAAGCAACACGCAAGAAGUCGUGAACUCGAUGACCCAGGGUCAUCAGAUCUCUCCAGGGUUAAUUCACACGAAAUUCCACAACGAUGACUGACCGCGAAGGGAAUUCGUUACGUAACAUUGAGCGCUGCCUCGAACUCGAUGACUAUUUUCAAUUAUUUCGUGAUUCGAAUGAUUUCCGGUGCGACGGGCUCGCAGCCAGAUGUGUCGUCGCUCUAGACAC
This is an RNA transcript of Eufriesea mexicana, 2686 nucleotides long. It is a transcript of the gene named dnaJ homolog subfamily C member 9, with no coding region annotated. NCBI's taxonomy places the organism in Eukaryota, Metazoa, Arthropoda, Insecta, Hymenoptera, Apidae. The record is from RefSeq and is a predicted model, not a curated record. The transcript has 3 exons.